AGUCAUCGUUUAGAAAUCUCGAUCACUGCAAAAAAAUAAUGGAUACCAGUUAUUGGCUGAAAAAGUACAAUGGAAUCACUCAAUAACAAGCAGUCGAGUAGUUACAUAGUUCUCGUCUUGUCCGUUAGGUCUUAGUCUUGAUUUUGGUUUCGUCGUUGGCCGCUAGGUGUCAGUGUGGCAGGUACAGUGGACGAGGCGGGAGUGUACGCGUCGCUUUCCUAUCAUCAAAAAACACGAAUUUGAGCUCAUUAUCAAGUGAAGCAAGUGAAAUGAAGACCUGUUGCAAGCCAAGGUUAUCGUGUCUACCGCUGCUGUCUCCUCACUGCCUGUCUGAGCACCUCGGGGACGCCGCGGGAUGCCGGGACGACGCCAUAUGAGGGGUGUUGGACAGAGGAGCGUCUCCCAGAAGAGUAGUGGAUCGAGGCAAGUAGUCAUUGGAAUCAGUCACAAAGCCAAACAUUUUCCCUUGCACUCGAAAUCUAGAAAUAAUCACCACUCUGCGUCUCUCAAUAAGUGCUACGAUUUUGCUACACGAUACGGCUCUUCAGGGAAUGCUUUCAUAAUACGAACCCAUAAAUCAUUCCUGUCGCAAUCACAACGCUGAGUGCUGUCUCCUUGCUGUCUACUUCUGCCUCGAGCACAGUGACAAUGGCUUCCUUCCGCACCAUGAGGCCAAGGAGAGGUGAGCGUUGCCUGUGAACUUCGCGACACAAGGGUAAGAGAGUCUCGCCCUGGUCUGAGCCUCCAGGACUUAACCUCACCAGCAACAUCCAGGAGUUGCAGUGGAGAAGAAAAUACGAAGUGAAGAGAAGAGCAAGCAGACCAAACAGCUCGCUCAGACUCGUCAUUUGCCGACCUCUAAUGCUGACCCUGGCUGACGGGGAGUUCUGUGUCUUUGAUGGUGCCUGCUAACCGUCCCGCCCAGAACCCCCUCCCCCAUCUCCUGGCGCGGCCCUCCACUCAUGUCCCGCCGGCAGGCUUUUCCCUCCGCUGGUCUUGACGCAGCCUCGCUAGCGGUAUAAAGCUGUUUCUGCCUUCCCACGCUUCCUG
Scylla paramamosain (green mud crab) is the source of this 1050-nucleotide long non-coding RNA. RefSeq lists it as uncharacterized. Lineage: Eukaryota; Metazoa; Arthropoda; Malacostraca; Decapoda; Portunidae. The record is from RefSeq and is a predicted model, not a curated record. The transcript has 8 exons.